GUGCCAGCAGCCGCGAUAAUACCGGCAGCCCAAGUGAUGGCCGAUCUUAUUGGGCCUAAAGCGUCCGUAGCUGGCCGCACAAGUCCGUCGGGAAAUCCACUCGCUUAACGAGUGGGCGUCCGGCGGAAACUGUGCGGCUUGGGACCGGAAGAUCCAAGGGGUACGUCCGGGGUAGGAGUGAAAUCCCGUAAUCCUGGAUGGACCACCGAUGGCGAAAGCACCUUGGAAGGACGGACCCGACAGUGAGGGACGAAAGCCAGGGUCUCCAACCGGAUUAGAUACCCGAGUAGUCC
Molecule: ribosomal RNA, 293 nt
Filed under: uncultured bacterium
Lineage: Bacteria
Description: partial 16S ribosomal RNA
Rfam family: Archaeal small subunit ribosomal RNA
Source: RNAcentral